CCUACGGGAGGCAGCAGUAAGGAAUAUUGGUCAAUGGAGGCAACUCUGAACCAGCCAUGCCGCGUGCAGGAAGACUGCCCUAUGGGUUGUAAACUGCUUUUAUCCGGGAAUAAACCUACUUACGUGUAAGUAGCUGAAUGUACCGGAAGAAUAAGGAUCGGCUAACUCCGUGCCAGCAGCCGCGGUAAUACGGAGGAUCCAAGCGUUAUCCGGAUUUAUUGGGUUUAAAGGGUGCGUAGGCGGCCUGUUAAGUCAGGGGUGAAAGACGGUAGCUCAACUAUCGCAGUGCCCUUGAUACUGAUGGGCUUGAAUGGACUAGAGGUAGGCGGAAUGAGACAAGUAGCGGUGAAAUGCAUAGAUAUGUCUCAGAACACCGAUUGCGAAGGCAGCUUACUAUGGUCUUAUUGACGCUGAGGCACGAAAGCGUGGGGAUCAAACAGGAUUAGAUACCCUGGUAGUCCACGCCCUAAACGAUGAACACUCGCUGUUGGCGAUACACAGUCAGCGGCUAAGCGAAAGCGUUAAGUGUUCCACCUGGGGAGUCGCCGCAGGUUGAACUUAAUUGAUUGCGG
Molecule: ribosomal RNA, 572 nt
Filed under: uncultured bacterium
Lineage: Bacteria
Description: bacterial SSU rRNA
Rfam family: Bacterial small subunit ribosomal RNA
Source: RNAcentral